GGACUACUCGGGUAUCUAAUCCCGUUCGCUCCCCUGGCUUUCGUGUCUCAGCGUCAGCACAUCCCCAGCUACCUGUUUUCACCAUUGGCGUUCCAAAUGAUAUCUACGCAUUUCACCGCUCCACCAUUUGUUCCGGUAGCCCCUAGAUGGCUCAAGACGACCAGUAUACCCAGCCGUUCCACGGUUAAGCCGUGGGAUUUCACAAGGUACUUAGAAGUCCGCCUACACACGCUUUAAGCCCAGUGAUUCCGCCUAACGCUCGGCACCUCUGUCUUACCGCGGCUGCUGGCAC
RNAcentral lists this ribosomal RNA (292 nucleotides) under uncultured bacterium. RNAcentral describes it as "partial 16S ribosomal RNA". The record is from RNAcentral.